Molecule: transfer RNA, 551 nt
Filed under: uncultured cyanobacterium
Lineage: Bacteria; Bacillati; Cyanobacteriota
Description: 16S-23S ribosomal RNA intergenic spacer
Rfam family: tRNA (bases 210-282)
Source: RNAcentral
CAGGGAGACAACAAAAUGUAAAUAUUAAUUUUGUCACCUUAGGUCGAUCGGUAUCUCAGAUUCUUAUUAUUUAAGAAUUUCAGUUUCUAAGUUUUUUCUAGGUCACACCCAUCACUUUUUCCUGGGCCAUUAGCUCAGGUGGUUAGAGCGCACCCCUGAUAAGGGUGAGGUCCCUGGUUCAAGUCCAGGAUGGCCCAUAUCUCUAUGUUGGGGGUAUAGCUCAGUUGGUAGAGCGCCUGCUUUGCAAGCAGGAUGUCAGCGGUUCGAGUCCGCUUACCUCCACUGAAUACCACCUCUUACAUAUAGUUGAAGUGGGAAAUUGUUUUGAGUCGUGUCCUAAUUUGCUCUGAGCGAAUCUAGCUUCCUAUUUUAUCCAAGAAAUAAGAUGCUGGACUCAUUGAAUUUUUUUUUCAUUGUUUUCAGAGAACCUUGACAACUGCAUAGAUUAUUUUUAAAGACAAUAAGCAUGGUUAAUGAUGCAGAUUUAUUAUUUGUGCGAAUGCAGUAAAUAACAAUUUUACUAAGUGGAUGCGUCAAUUAUUGAAGUUAUU